Molecule: ribosomal RNA, 425 nt
Filed under: uncultured Nitrosomonas sp.
Lineage: Bacteria; Pseudomonadati; Pseudomonadota; Betaproteobacteria; Nitrosomonadales; Nitrosomonadaceae
Description: bacterial SSU rRNA
Rfam family: Bacterial small subunit ribosomal RNA
Source: RNAcentral
GAGCGGCCGAUGUCUGAUUAGUUAGUUGGUGGGGUAAAGGCCUACCAAGGCAACGAUCAGUAGCUGGUCUGAGAGGACGAUCAGCCACACUGGGACUGAGGCACGGCCCAGACUCCUACGGGAGGCAGCAGUGGGGAAUUUUGGACAAUGGGCGAAAGCCUGAUCCAGCCAUGCCGCGUGAAUGAAGAAGGCCUUCGGGUUGUAAAGUUCUUUUAGUUGGAAAGAAAAAAUUAUGAUGAAUAAUCAUAAUUCAUGACGGUACCGACAGAAAAAGCACCGGCUAACUACGUGCCAGCAGCCGCGGUAAUACGUAGGGUGCAAGCGUUAAUCGGAAUUACUGGGCGUAAAGGGUGUGCAGGCGGCCUUGUAAGUCAGAUGUGAAAGCCCCGGGCUUAACCUGGGAAUUGCGUUUGAAACUACAAGGC